CCACAGGUAGCUCAGUUGGUUAGAGCACGGGUCUGAAAAGCCUGGUGUCGGUAGUUCGAUUCUACCCUUGUGGA
RNAcentral lists this transfer RNA (74 nucleotides) under Pantoea phage vB_PagS_AAS21. It matches the Rfam family "tRNA". Rfam says of the family: Transfer RNA (tRNA) molecules are approximately 80 nucleotides in length. Their secondary structure includes four short double-helical elements and three loops (D, anti-codon, and T loops). Further hydrogen bonds mediate the characteristic L-shaped molecular structure. tRNAs have two regions of fundamental functional importance: the anti-codon, which is responsible for specific mRNA codon recognition, and the 3' end, to which the tRNAs corresponding amino acid is attached (by aminoacyl-tRNA synthetases). tRNAs cope with the degeneracy of the genetic code in two manners: having more than one tRNA (with a specific anti-codon) for a particular amino acid; and 'wobble' base-pairing, i.e. permitting non-standard base-pairing at the 3rd anti-codon position. The record is from Rfam by way of RNAcentral. Lineage: Duplodnaviria; Heunggongvirae; Uroviricota; Caudoviricetes; Demerecviridae.